RNAcentral lists this ribosomal RNA (2922 nucleotides) under Staphylococcus aureus DAR5883. RNAcentral describes it as "bacterial LSU rRNA". It matches the Rfam family "Bacterial large subunit ribosomal RNA". The record is from RNAcentral. Lineage: Bacteria; Bacillati; Bacillota; Bacilli; Caryophanales; Staphylococcaceae.
UUAAGUUAUUAAGGGCGCACGGUGGAUGCCUUGGCACUAGAAGCCGAUGAAGGACGUUACUAACGACGAUAUGCUUUGGGGAGCUGUAAGUAAGCUUUGAUCCAGAGAUUUCCGAAUGGGGAAACCCAGCAUGAGUUAUGUCAUGUUAUCGAUAUGUGAAUACAUAGCAUAUCAGAAGGCACACCCGGAGAACUGAAACAUCUUAGUACCCGGAGGAAGAGAAAGAAAAUUCGAUUCCCUUAGUAGCGGCGAGCGAAACGGGAAGAGCCCAAACCAACAAGCUUGCUUGUUGGGGUUGUAGGACACUCUAUACGGAGUUACAAAGGACGACAUUAGACGAAUCAUCUGGAAAGAUGAAUCAAAGAAGGUAAUAAUCCUGUAGUCGAAAAUGUUGUCUCUCUUGAGUGGAUCCUGAGUACGACGGAGCACGUGAAAUUCCGUCGGAAUCUGGGAGGACCAUCUCCUAAGGCUAAAUACUCUCUAGUGACCGAUAGUGAACCAGUACCGUGAGGGAAAGGUGAAAAGCACCCCGGAAGGAGAGUGAAAUAGAACCUGAAACCGUGUGCUUACAAGUAGUCAGAGCCCGUUAAUGGGUGAUGGCGUGCCUUUUGUAGAAUGAACCGGCGAGUUACGAUUUGAUGCAAGGUUAAGCAGUAAAUGUGGAGCCGUAGCGAAAGCGAGUCUGAAUAGGGCGUUUAGUAUUUGGUCGUAGACCCGAAACCAGGUGAUCUACCCUUGGUCAGGUUGAAGUUCAGGUAACACUGAAUGGAGGACCGAACCGACUUACGUUGAAAAGUGAGCGGAUGAACUGAGGGUAGCGGAGAAAUUCCAAUCGAACCUGGAGAUAGCUGGUUCUCUCCGAAAUAGCUUUAGGGCUAGCCUCAAGUGAUGAUUAUUGGAGGUAGAGCACUGUUUGGACGAGGGGCCCCUCUCGGGUUACCGAAUUCAGACAAACUCCGAAUGCCAAUUAAUUUAACUUGGGAGUCAGAACAUGGGUGAUAAGGUCCGUGUUCGAAAGGGAAACAGCCCAGACCACCAGCUAAGGUCCCAAAAUAUAUGUUAAGUGGAAAAGGAUGUGGCGUUGCCCAGACAACUAGGAUGUUGGCUUAGAAGCAGCCAUCAUUUAAAGAGUGCGUAAUAGCUCACUAGUCGAGUGACACUGCGCCGAAAAUGUACCGGGGCUAAACAUAUUACCGAAGCUGUGGAUUGUCCUUUGGACAAUGGUAGGAGAGCGUUCUAAGGGCGUUGAAGCAUGAUCGUAAGGACAUGUGGAGCGCUUAGAAGUGAGAAUGCCGGUGUGAGUAGCGAAAGACGGGUGAGAAUCCCGUCCACCGAUUGACUAAGGUUUCCAGAGGAAGGCUCGUCCGCUCUGGGUUAGUCGGGUCCUAAGCUGAGGCCGACAGGCGUAGGCGAUGGAUAACAGGUUGAUAUUCCUGUACCACCUAUAAUCGUUUUAAUCGAUGGGGGGACGCAGUAGGAUAGGCGAAGCGUGCGAUUGGAUUGCACGUCUAAGCAGUAAGGCUGAGUAUUAGGCAAAUCCGGUACUCGUUAAGGCUGAGCUGUGAUGGGGAGAAGACAUUGAGUCUUCGAGUCGUUGAUUUCACACUGCCGAGAAAAGCCUCUAGAUAGAAAAUAGGUGCCCGUACCGCAAACCGACACAGGUAGUCAAGAUGAGAAUUCUAAGGUGAGCGAGCGAACUCUCGUUAAGGAACUCGGCAAAAUGACCCCGUAACUUCGGGAGAAGGGGUGCUCUUUAGGGUUAACGCCCAGAAGAGCCGCAGUGAAUAGGCCCAAGCGACUGUUUAUCAAAAACACAGGUCUCUGCUAAACCGUAAGGUGAUGUAUAGGGGCUGACGCCUGCCCGGUGCUGGAAGGUUAAGAGGAGUGGUUAGCUUCUGCGAAGCUACGAAUCGAAGCCCCAGUAAACGGCGGCCGUAACUAUAACGGUCCUAAGGUAGCGAAAUUCCUUGUCGGGUAAGUUCCGACCCGCACGAAAGGCGUAACGAUUUGGGCACUGUCUCAACGAGAGACUCGGUGAAAUCAUAGUACCUGUGAAGAUGCAGGUUACCCGCGACAGGACGGAAAGACCCCGUGGAGCUUUACUGUAGCCUGAUAUUGAAAUUCGGCACAGCUUGUACAGGAUAGGUAGGAGCCUUUGAAACGUGAGCGCUAGCUUACGUGGAGGCGCUGGUGGGAUACUACCCUAGCUGUGUUGGCUUUCUAACCCGCACCACUUAUCGUGGUGGGAGACAGUGUCAGGCGGGCAGUUUGACUGGGGCGGUCGCCUCCUAAAAGGUAACGGAGGCGCUCAAAGGUUCCCUCAGAAUGGUUGGAAAUCAUUCAUAGAGUGUAAAGGCAUAAGGGAGCUUGACUGCGAGACCUACAAGUCGAGCAGGGUCGAAAGACGGACUUAGUGAUCCGGUGGUUCCGCAUGGAAGGGCCAUCGCUCAACGGAUAAAAGCUACCCCGGGGAUAACAGGCUUAUCUCCCCCAAGAGUUCACAUCGACGGGGAGGUUUGGCACCUCGAUGUCGGCUCAUCGCAUCCUGGGGCUGUAGUCGGUCCCAAGGGUUGGGCUGUUCGCCCAUUAAAGCGGUACGCGAGCUGGGUUCAGAACGUCGUGAGACAGUUCGGUCCCUAUCCGUCGUGGGCGUAGGAAAUUUGAGAGGAGCUGUCCUUAGUACGAGAGGACCGGGAUGGACAUACCCUCUGGUGUACCAGUUGUCGUGCCAACGGCAUAGCUGGGUAGCUAUGUGUGGACGGGAUAAGUGCUGAAAGCAUCUAAGCAUGAAGCCCCCCUCAAGAUGAGAUUUCCCAACUUCGGUUAUAAGAUCCCUCAAAGAUGAUGAGGUUAAUAGGUUCGAGGUGGAAGCAUGGUGACAUGUGGAGCUGACGAAUACUAAUCGAUCGAAGACUUAAUCAA